Molecule: long non-coding RNA, 521 nt
Organism: Zingiber officinale
Lineage: Eukaryota; Viridiplantae; Streptophyta; Magnoliopsida; Zingiberales; Zingiberaceae
Exons: 3
Source: RefSeq, a predicted model, not a curated record
CGCCAAUGUGGAAGGGCAAUUAGGGCUUCAAGGGUUAGGUCAUGGAUUUCUUCCUUGUUCUUGUUGAUUGAAGGUCAGAGAAGUCCCUGGUGUGCAGAAUCUAAUCGAGCAACACCUUUUGGAGACAAUCGAUUGAGGGCAAAGACUAGAGGGGUUGAUGCUUGAUCAGUAGUCUUAUUGCUUGAUUCCUUCUUGAUCCGAAUUGUGGAGUGGAAUCAAGCACCUUGCUGUUCUGUUUAUGGUGUACCUUGUUUCCAUAGCUACUCAUCUCACGUCCGGCAGCAACCUAUCCAGUGAGGUGAAUCCAGUGAGGAUUUGUGAAGGUAAUUUUGGUGUCCAGCAGCAUUUCUAGUUUUGGCAGCAACCUCAUUUAGCAGAUUGCUUGGUUUCAGCAAUCUACAGCAGCUUGAUCAAGGUAAGGUGUAUAGGUUUUGUUCUUUGUUUUAGAUAUGAUUUGAUUUCAUGAACAGAUGUAGAUUGGAAUUAGGGUUAUACUUAGUUGUUUAUGUGUAGAAUUAUUU